ACCUCGGUAGUCUAAUUGGCUAGGACGCUUGCGCGUGAAGCAAGCGAUCCAGGUUCGACUUCCAGCCGAGGUA
RNAcentral lists this transfer RNA (73 nucleotides) under Cyphomyrmex costatus. It matches the Rfam family "tRNA". From Rfam's summary of the family: Transfer RNA (tRNA) molecules are approximately 80 nucleotides in length. Lineage: Eukaryota; Metazoa; Arthropoda; Insecta; Hymenoptera; Formicidae. The record is from Rfam by way of RNAcentral.